This 26-nucleotide non-coding RNA is filed under the name Homo sapiens (human). Lineage: Eukaryota; Metazoa; Chordata; Mammalia; Primates; Hominidae. The record is from RNAcentral.
UUUGGUGAUCAUUCCUCUUCGGUGAU